UGGUGACAAAUGUCCAGUGGCAUUCUCCA
This 29-nucleotide non-coding RNA is filed under the name Rattus norvegicus (Norway rat). Lineage: Eukaryota; Metazoa; Chordata; Mammalia; Rodentia; Muridae. The record is from RNAcentral.